UUGAAAGGCUGCUUGGUGGAUCUGGGCAAAAAGAGCCUCAGCAGAGCUAAGACCAAACAUGGGUGUCCUGACUCCUCUUUUCUGCCUUCUGCUGCUCUGUUGCCCAGCCACCAGUGGGAGCGCUGCCCUGACACAGUCCCCAGCCUUUCUGAGUGUGACUCCAGGAGAGAGCGUCUCCAUCACCUGCAGGGCCAGUGAAAGAAUUAGUGAUUAUUUGAACUGGUAUCAGCAGAAGUCAGGCCAGUCUCCUAGGAUUAUCAUCUAUGAUGCUGAUAACAAAUAUCCUGGUGUCUCUGAUCGCUUUAGUGGCAUACAGAGUGGGACAGAAUUCAUUUUCAAAAUCAGCGGGGUAGAGGUUGGAGACACUGGCACAUAUUACUGCCAGCAGGACUACGAAGUCCCUCUCACAGUGUUACAGUCCCAUACAUAA
Non-coding RNA from Cavia porcellus (domestic guinea pig), 430 nucleotides. The record is from the annotation of a RefSeq genome assembly. NCBI's taxonomy places the organism in Eukaryota, Metazoa, Chordata, Mammalia, Rodentia, Caviidae.